AGAGUUUGAUCAUGGCUCAGGACGAACGCUGGCGGCGUGCUUAACACAUGCAAGUCGAACGCUGAUGGCCCAGCUUGCUGGGUUGGAUGAGUGGCGAACGGGUGAGUAACACGUGAGUAACCUGCCCUCUUCUUUGGGAUAACGGUCGGAAACGGCUGCUAAUACCGGGUAUUCACUGUCCUUCGCAUGGGGGGUGGUGGAAAGGUUUUUUCUGGUGGGGGAUGGGCUCGCGGCCUAUCAGCUUGUUGGUGGGGUGAUGGCUUACCAAGGCUUUGACGGGUAACCGGCCUGAGAGGGUGACCGGUCACAUUGGGACUGAGAUACGGCCCAGACUCCUACGGGAGGCAGCAGUGGGGAAUAUUGCACAAUGGGCGAAAGCCUGAUGCAGCGACGCCGCGUGAGGGAUGGAGGCCUUCGGGUUGUAAACCUCUUUCGCUCAUGGUCAAGCCGCAACUGUGGGUUGUGGUGAGGGUAGUGGGUAAAGAAGCACCGGCUAACUACGUGCCAGCAGCCGCGGUAAUACGUAGGGUGCGAGCGUUGUCCGGAAUUAUUGGGCGUWAAGGGCUUGUAGGCGGUUUGUCGCGUCUGCCGUGAAAUCCUCUGGCUUAACUGGGGGCGUGCGGUGGGUACGGGCAGGCUUGAGUGCGGUAGGGGAGACUGGAACUCCUGGUGUAGCGGUGGAAUGCGCAGAUAUCAGGAAGAACACCGGUGGCGAAGGCGGGUCUCUGGGCCGUUACUGACGCUGAGGAGCGAAAGCGUGGGGAGCGAACAGGAUUAGAUACCCUGGUAGUCCACGCUGUAAACGUUGGGCACUAGGUGUGGGGGCCACCCGUGGUUUCUGCGCCGUAGCUAACGCUUUAAGUGCCCCGCCUGGGGAGUACGGCCGCAAGGCUAAAACUCAAAGGAAUUGACGGGGGCCCGCACAAG
RNAcentral lists this ribosomal RNA (927 nucleotides) under Actinomyces sp. R42.11. RNAcentral's name for it is "bacterial SSU rRNA". It matches the Rfam family "Bacterial small subunit ribosomal RNA", at positions 8 to 929 of the family's 1533-position model. The record is from RNAcentral. Lineage: Bacteria; Bacillati; Actinomycetota; Actinomycetes; Actinomycetales; Actinomycetaceae.